Molecule: ribosomal RNA, 406 nt
Filed under: uncultured bacterium
Lineage: Bacteria
Description: partial 16S ribosomal RNA
Rfam family: Bacterial small subunit ribosomal RNA
Source: RNAcentral
AUUGAACGCUGGCGGCAUGCUUUACACAUGCAAGUCGAACGAGUGGCGGACGGGUGAGUAAUGUAUUGGAAUCUACCGUAUAGUGGGGGAUAACUACUCGAAACAUUGGCUAAUACCGCAUACUAUUCGAUCGGCCCAUAUCGGAUUAGCUAGUUGGGGGGGUAAAGGCUCACCAAGGCGACGAUCUCUAGCUGGUCUGAGAGGAUGAUCAGCCACACUGGGACUGAGACACGGCCCAGACGCCUACGGGAGGCAGCAGUGGGGAAUAUUGGACAAUGGGCGCAAGCCUGAUGCAGCCAUGCCGCGUGGAUGAAGAAGGCCUUAGGGUUGUAAAGGACUUUUGGUAGGGAGGCGGUACCUACAGAAGAAGCACCGGCUAACUACGUGCCAGCAGCCGCGGUAAUAC